This 681-nucleotide ribosomal RNA is filed under the name uncultured bacterium. RNAcentral describes it as "bacterial SSU rRNA". It matches the Rfam family "Bacterial small subunit ribosomal RNA", at positions 8 to 678 of the family's 1533-position model. The record is from RNAcentral.
AGAGUUUGAUCCUGGCUCAGAUUGAACGCUGGCGGUAUGCUUAACACAUGCAAGUCGAACGGAAACGAUACUAGCUUGCUAGUAGGCGUCGAGUGGCGGACGGGUGAGUAACGCGUAGGAAUCUGCCUGAUAGUGGGGGAUAGCCCGGAGAAAUUCGGAUUAAUACCGCAUAAUCUAUUCGUAGUAAAGGAGGCCUCUAUUUAUAUGCUUUCGCUAUCAGAUGAGCCUGCGUAAGAUUAGCUUGUUGGUGAGGUAAAAGCUCACCAAGGCGACGAUCUUUAGCUGGUCUGAGAGGAUGAUCAGCCACAUCGGGACUGAGACACGGCCCGAACUCCUACGGGAGGCAGCAGUGGGGAAUAUUGGACAAUGGGCGCAAGCCUGAUCCAGCAAUACCGCGUGUGUGAAGAAGGCCUGAGGGUUGUAAAGCACUUUCAAUUGUGAAGAAAAGCUAAUGGUUAAUACCCAUUAGCCUUGACGUUAACUUUAGAAGAAGCACCGGCUAACUCCGUGCCAGCAGCCGCGGUAAUACGGAGGGUGCAAGCGUUAAUCGGAAUUACUGGGCGUAAAGCGUGCGUAGGUGGUUUGUUAAGUCAGAUGUGAAAGCCCCGGGCUCAACCUGGGAACUGCAUUUGAAACUGGCAAACUUGAGUAUAGGAGAGGAAAGUGGAAUUUCUGGUGUAG